AUUCUGGAGAGUUUGAUCCUGGCUCAGAGUGAACGCUGGCGGCGUGGAUUAGGCAUGCAAGUCGAGCGAUCCUUGCUGGACUUUUAUUGGAGUGCUUGCACAAAGAUAAAAGACUGGCGCUGGAUAGCGGCAAACGGGUGAGGAACACGUGAGUAAUUUGCCUCUAAGUCAAGCAUAGCUUCGUGAAAACGGAGGUAAUUCUUGAUAGUAUCUUUUUAUCGCAUGAUUUUAAGAUUAAAGGCGGGGACCUUUUAGGCCCGCCGUUUAGAGAUGAGCUCGCGUCCUAUCAGCUUGUUGGUGGGGUAAUGGCCUACCAAGGCAAUUGACGGGUAGCUGGUCUGAGAGGAUGGUCAGCCACACUGGGACUGAGACACUGCCCAGACUCCUACGGGAGGCUGCAGUCGAGAAUAUUUAGCAAUGGGCGAAAGCCUGACUAUGCGACGCCGCGUGAGGGAUGAAGGUUUUCGGAUCGUAAACCUCUUUUGUUAGGAAAGAACAUUUUAGACCUAAUACGUCUAAAACUGACGGUACCUAACGAAUAAGCCACGGCCAACUCCGUGCCAGCAGCCGCGGUAAUACGGAGGUGGCAAGCGUUACUCGGAAUUAUUGGGUGUAAAGGGCAGGUAGGCGGUUUAAUAAGUGAGGGGUGAAAGCUCCCGACUCAAUCGGGAAAUUGCCUUUCAAACUAUUAGACUUGAGGACGGUAGAGGAAAAUGGAAUUCUCAGUGUAAGGGUGAAAUCUGUGGAUAUUGAGAAGAACAUCAACGGCGAAGGCAAUUUUCUAGGCCGUCUCUGACGCUAAACUGCGAAAGCUAGGGGAGCAAACAGAAUUAGAUACUCUGGUAGUCCUAGCCGUAAACGAUGAGCACUAGGUGUUGGUCCUUCACGGGGUCAGUGCCGCAGCUAACGCAUUAAGUGCUCCACCUGGGGACUACGGUCGCAAGGCUAAGACUCAAAGGAAUUGACGGGGACCCGCACAAGCAGCGGAGCGUGUGGUUUAAUUCGAGGCUACACGAAGAACCUUACCUGGGCUUGACAUGCUAGUGGUAGCGACGCGAAAGCCGAGCGACCCUUCGGGGAGCUAGCACAGGUGCUGCAUGGUUGUCGUCAGCUCGUGCCGUGAGGUGUUAGGUUAAGUCCUGCAACGAGCGCAACCCCUGUUGUCAGUUGAUUUCUCUGGCAAGACUGCCUCGAAAACGGGGAGGAAGGUGGGGAUGACGUCAAGUCAGCAUGGCCCUUACGUCUUGGGCUACACACACGCUACAAUGGGUGGUACAAAAGGUGGCAAUAGAGCAAUCUGGAGCUAAUCCCAAAAGCCAUCCUCAGUUCGGAUUGUAGGCUGAAACUCGCCUGCAUGAAGUUGGAGUUGCUAGUAACUGCAGGUCAGCAUACUGCGGUGAAUACGUUCUCGGGCCUUGUACACACCGCCCGUCACGUCAUGAAAGUUGGCAACACCUGAAGUCGGUGAGCUAACCCCGGUUUCCGGGGAGGCAGUCGCCGAGGGUGGGGCUAGCGAUUGGGACGAAGUCGUAACAAGGUAGCCGUAGCGGAAGCUGCGGCUGGAUCACCUCCUUU
Molecule: ribosomal RNA, 1575 nt
Filed under: Candidatus Aceula lacicola
Lineage: Bacteria; Pseudomonadati; Candidatus Omnitrophota
Description: bacterial SSU rRNA
Rfam family: Bacterial small subunit ribosomal RNA
Source: RNAcentral